RNAcentral lists this ribosomal RNA (774 nucleotides) under uncultured Neocallimastigales. Its description in RNAcentral is "partial large subunit ribosomal RNA". It matches the Rfam family "Eukaryotic large subunit ribosomal RNA", at positions 26 to 628 of the family's 3401-position model. The record is from RNAcentral. Lineage: Eukaryota; Fungi; Neocallimastigomycota; Neocallimastigomycetes; Neocallimastigales.
CGCAUCUGUGCAUGCAGCAUAUCAAUAAGCGGAGGAAAAGAAACUAACAAGGAUUCCCCUAGUAACGGCGAGUGAAGCGGGAAGAGCUCAAAUUUGAAAUCUUAAAGGGUUUCCCUUUACGAAUUGUAGUUUAAAGAAGUGUUUUCUGUUGAGGUUUUGGUAAAAGUUCUUUGGAAUAGGACAUCAUAGAGGGUGAGAAUCCCGUAUUUGACCUUUACUUUCAACUUUGUGAUACACUUUCAAAGAGUCGGAUUGUUUGGGAAUGCAGUCCAAAAUGGGUGGUAAAUUUCAUCUAAAGCUAAAUAUUGGCGAGAGACCGAUAGCGAACAAGUACCGUGAGGGAAAGAUGAAAAGAACUUUGAAAAGAGAGUUAAACAGUACGUGAAAUUGUCAAAAGGGAAGCGUUUGACACCAGUGUUGUUUUUCUGAAAAUCAAUUAAAGAACUGUUUAUGCUAAGCUGUUUAGACUUUAUCAGCUAUCUGUUUAGUUUUGAGCUUUUCUUUAAUGCACUUUUCAGUUAACAAGUCAACAUCAAUUUCUUUUGCUGUAAAAAAGCUUGAGGAAGGUGGCUUGAGAUUCGUCUUAAGUGUUUAUAGCCUCUUGCCUAUGCAGUCGGAGAGAUUGAGGUCUGCAGCGUAGAUCCUUCGGGGCUAAAUGCAUUUGUGCUAAGUUAUAGCAUUCUAUAGACAACUUGUUGACUAUGAUUUGUCUUGUAGCUUACUCGCUUAUGUUAUUUUACCUACGCUUAGGAUGUUGAGUCGUAGAGCACGCAG